AUCUCUAGAUACGCGUAUCCGCGACAUCUUCCGUGAUCACGACUUUUGCGAACCAGAGGCGUAUUGCAGACACUCGCUCUAUACACGUCUCGCGAUUUCGUCGUUCGCGGCGUGUUCACGGACCCCCAACUUCGAUGGACCUGAUGACGCCAUGAUCCAUGUCGCAGUUGGAUCACAGUCGGAUCCGCCAGGCCCCUCUCAAUUAUGAGUGUCAUUGCCCGCGAGUCCUGCCUUCGGACAUAAAUACAGCUGCGACCCGUUUAAUCCGCGGGUGAAUGAAAAUGCCUGCACCACCACCACCACCACCACCUCUGCAAUUCAACUCUUCUGGUCCACCGGCAGGAGACAACAGGAAUUUGUUGUUGCAAUCUAUAAGAGCAGGCAAAACUUUGAAAAAGACUGUUACUGUGGAUAAAAGUACACCUGCUAUUGCUGGAAGAGUAAAAGGUGAAUCAACCAGCUCUUCAUUUAAUAAUAACAGUGGAAAUAAUAAUUCCAACAGCAGCAGUUACUCUAGUAAUGGAGGACCCAUGCAGCUUGGUGGUUUAUUUGCAAGUGGUAUGCCGAAGUUGAAACCUAUUGGAUUAAGAAGUAAUACGACAGAGAAGAACGGACAUAAUGUAAAUAAUCCUAGUUUCCUUCAUUCGUCACCUGGAUCGUCUCACAGCAUAAAGCGUGGUCCACCACCAGUCCCGCCACCAGCUACACAGAAACCACAAGUAUACAGUCAGAUUAUUGAUUUGCAGCAAAGUCAAAGUACCACCGAUUCUGCGAUGACCAACGCGGACACCAUGCCUAGAGGACUCGGAAAAUCGAUUAUCGUGCCUAAACCAGCAGCGUCUCCCUCCUUGCAGAAACCGUCGCCGCCACCUAAAAAGCUGAAUCUAACGAGCAGCACAAGUGUGUCGCGGGCACAAAGCAUGAGAUUGCCUCGUUCGUCACCGGUCUUGGUACCAACGCCGUCGUCUUUACAUCAAUCGCAGGACUGUUUAAACGAGACUGCGCAGCCGGCGAGAACUACGGUGAGUCGGGUUCUCAGGCCGCCCGUGGCUAGACCCCCGUCGCCACCGACUUCACGAGCGAAUACCAUGCCUACGACCGCUACGAGAGCAGCGCCGCCGCCGCCGUCGAGGGUCACGGUUACCGCACCGUGUAUACCCCCGCCGCCGCCGCCGCUCCCGCAUCGGCCCGCACCCACGCAUCAGAGAUUGGCACCUCCGCCGCCGCCGCCGCCAACUCCACCCACCAGGAGUUUGUCGGUGCGCAACGGUCAGUCAAAUACGAAUUCUGUUGACUUGGAGAUGCGUUUCGCCGAUAUGUUUCACGUCAUGUCGAGUUUCCCGCAUCCGGAGCCAUUCAAGGGUUUUGUUAAAGUCUACAGCAGCAGGAAUGAUGAGAUACUUCUUUUUUUAUGAUGCCAUUCGAAGAUUUUUUUCAUAUGAUACUUACCCCUUCUGCUGAUGCUGCUUCCCCGCCUCCUGUACCAUCAAAAAUACAUACAGCAAAGCAACAAGCUCCAGCUCCACCUCUUCAAUCAUCUUCUACCCCUAAUACACUGCAUUCGUUAAAUACUUCGUCUGGAAGUAAACAGUGGCAACAUAAUGCGACCUCUCUGGCAUAUUGAAAAGAAACCUCUGUGUAUACUUAAAUCAUUGCUUCGUGCAUUGAUUAUGAUAUAUAAUAUAUAUAAAACUUCUCGAUGCUGCCACAAUAAAAUGUUAAAUUAGAUGAGCAGGGAAAGGAUGAAUCGCGAAGUAUAAGCAUUAGAGAGUGUGUGAAAUAUCCUGAGUUCGUGUGUGUGAGCUCAGUUUUACAAUAAAAUGUUUUAGACAAUAUUUUCUGUACAGUUUAUCUUAGGAGAAAUCUAUUUAAUAUAGAUUAUACUUAUACAUAAAGAAAAGAAAGAUCGUUAGAAAUUCUAGGCCUGUUACCUAACAGAAAUGUAAAAGAUAUUAAAAUGAAAGGAACAUUUACUUUAGCUCU
Odontomachus brunneus is the source of this 1983-nucleotide RNA transcript. It is a transcript of the gene named WAS/WASL-interacting protein family member 1-like, with no coding region annotated. The transcript has 6 exons. The record is from RefSeq and is a predicted model, not a curated record. NCBI's taxonomy places the organism in Eukaryota, Metazoa, Arthropoda, Insecta, Hymenoptera, Formicidae.